This 638-nucleotide ribosomal RNA is filed under the name bacterium CaletaPS1. Its description in RNAcentral is "bacterial SSU rRNA". It matches the Rfam family "Bacterial small subunit ribosomal RNA", at positions 105 to 728 of the family's 1533-position model. The record is from RNAcentral.
UUUGAGUAACACGUGGGUAACCUGCCCAUAAGACUGGGAUAACUCCGGGAAACCGGGGCUAAUACCGGAUAACAUUUUGAACCGCAUGGUUCGAAAUUGAAAGGCGGCUUCGGCUGUCACUUAUGGAUGGACCCGCGUCGCAUUAGCUAGUUGGUGAGGUAACGGCUCACCAAGGCAACGAUGCGUAGCCGACCUGAGAGGGUGAUCGGCCACACUGGGACUGAGACACGGCCCAGACUCCUACGGGAGGCAGCAGUAGGGAAUCUUCCGCAAUGGACGAAAGUCUGACGGAGCAACGCCGCGUGAGUGAUGAAGGCUUUCGGGUCGUAAAACUCUGUUGUUAGGGAAGAACAAGUGCUAGUUGAAUAAGCUGGCACCUUGACGGUACCUAACCAGAAAGCCACGGCUAACUACGUGCCAGCAGCCGCGGUAAUACGUAGGUGGCAAGCGUUAUCCGGAAUUAUUGGGCGUAAAGCGCGCGCAGGUGGUUUCUUAAGUCUGAUGUGAAAGCCCACGGCUCAACCGUGGAGGGUCAUUGGAAACUGGGAGACUUGAGUGCAGAAGAGGAAAGUGGAAUUCCAUGUGUAGCGGUGAAAUGCGUAUAGAUAUGGAGGAACACCAGUGGCGAAGGCGACUUU